This 253-nucleotide ribosomal RNA is filed under the name uncultured bacterium. RNAcentral's name for it is "partial 16S ribosomal RNA". It matches the Rfam family "Bacterial small subunit ribosomal RNA", at positions 524 to 776 of the family's 1533-position model. The record is from RNAcentral.
UACGUAGGGGGCUAGCGUUGUCCGGAUUUAUUGGGCGUAAAGAGCGUGUAGGCGGCCAGAUAGGUCAGCUGUGAAAACUCGAGGCUCAACCUCGAGAUGUCGGCUGAAACCAUCUGGCUAGAGUCCGGAAGAGGAGAAUGGAAUUCCCGGUGUAGCGGUGAAAUGCGCAGAUAUCGGGAAGAACACCUAUGGCGAAGGCAGCUCUCUGGGACGGUACUGACGCUGAGACGCGAAAGCGUGGGGAGCGAACAGG